UAGGUUUUAUUUCCCUCCCAGCUGGAGUCAUGACUCCCGCCUCUACCUUUUCGACUUCAUAUCUCCCACUCUCGUUAGGGUUUGAAAUUAGGGCAUUCUUCGAGCUUAUAUCCGUCCUUAUUUUUUUUUUUUGUGCCACUAUGCUACAUCGAUCCAUCCCAACUUCGACAUUAACUCAGCCGACAUCUGUAUUGGGAGCACAUACGAUCUUCAUUCGUCCCAAUUCGUAUCUCCUCACCAUCUUCCUGCGGUCUACAAAUCUUCCGACUUCAACGAGGCUAUUGAACUUUUGAAGCUACAAGCUCUCUGGUCUCUUGGAGUGCAGAGACAAUGAAACCCAGGUACAUCAACAUAUUGCAUUUCAUCACGAUCAAAAUGUUUAAAGAAAGAUUUAGUUUUGUUUUCAUUCAAAGUGAUUCUAUUAAACUAUGAAUAAUUAUCAUGGGUAUUUGUUUUUUUGGUGUGUAUUUAUCAAUGGGCAUUAUAUAUACAGAUGUUUUCAUUAAACCAUGUAUUGUAAUGUAAAAAUGUGGCACAUAAAUGAUUUUGAUGUUGAUUUUCGUUCUUGAGUGUCACUUUAAUUGUGAAAUCUCGUUUCUUACUACUUAGAUUGAAGUCAUUGAUACGAGUAAGGAGGUGGAUUUGGAUCUUAUCAAGACAAAUUUGUCAGGUUUGACACCUUAUGCUGCUGGCUAUCCUUUUCUUUCUCUUUUUCUAUUCUAUGUACCCCUGCUUUUUGUAGUUCAGAUAAACUGAGAUGACAAUUGCUGAUAAAUCAACAAAGAUUAUAGAAUGUCAACGUGUUUGUUUUAGUAGCAAGGACUCUAUGAUGCUGAAGCUACAUGGUAAGAGACGUUGUUGUUUUUUAAUGAUAUUUCUUGGUAUUUUUACAAAUAUAUGAAUGGUUAAUGUUUCACUAUUAUCCUUAGAUAUGCUUCCAGUAUUCCAUAUUUUGUUUAUAGUCACAUGAUAUUUUCUUUUCUUCACUUGUUGGUUGCAUACUAAAGCUUCUUUUACCUUAUUUCAAUUUGAAAUCGAACAUAUUGAUGUUAAAUUGUUCUAAUAAAAUGACGUGUGUCAUAUUUGUGGAAGAGCUUAAAAUUUUCAAUUCUCUUAAAUUCUUAAUUUGCAAAAGGAAAUGUCUUUCUAAAUUGGUCAUAUAGUUAGAAUUUCCGAUACAAUGAUAAGAUUUGUUCAUGAACUUUUCUAUUCUUAUCAUACAUGUUUUGAUCUUUAACCUUUUGUAGAGGAAUGACAGUCGUACUUUAAUUGGAGAACCAAUAUAAUAAUCUUUGAUAUUGCUAAUCUUGAACUUGAUGUUUAAUUUAAAUCAAUUUUUGGUUUUUAAAUUAUAUAUUCCACUACAUAGCUAUCAUUUGAAUGUUAAUUGUUUACAUAUGUAUUAGAAGCUGUAUGAGAUAACAACAUAUAAAUAUGAGAUAACAACAUAUAAAUCCUAAACACUCAUAGUUUUCUUUUGGAGGACUCGAAAAUCAAUCUCUAAUUGGUAUUUUUUCAAAAUAUAAGAUUGAGUGUACAGUCUAUCCAAGUGAUCUCAUACUUCCUUUGUAUGUAUCAUACUUUUCCUAUUGACUAACUAUCGAUGCAGGUGAUAAUAGUAAUACUAGAAUUAUCUAUUUCUCAAGCUUCUACUAACAUUGCAUAAUUAGUAGCUUUCUCAUUCUGUUUUCCUUUUAUAAUGGUAACAAUACCUCACAUCUGUUUACCCUUACGUUGUAAGAAAUUUUUCAAUACAUAUUUCCAAUAAGCAUAUAUUUUGCCAUCUAGUUGGUGCUAAUGAACUGUAGAAAGUCAUCGUUGGGAGCCAUAUUAAGAAUAAUCAAAGUAAACGAAUAAGGAAAAUUUUAUGUAGGGUUAACAUAGCCAAAGGGCUAAACAAUAGAAAAUAAACUCAAAAGUACUUUUAUUAUAUAUACCAAAGCAACCAUCUUCUCCAACUUCCAAGAUUACGUAAAGGUGAUUGUUUACUGAUGAGGUAUAUUGGAACUCAUAUGAUGAUAGCAUUAACAAAAAGUGACUUCACAAGAUUUAUGAGUUCAUCUCCAACGUAUGUGAAAUGGUCUUUAUCCUUGUACAAGAGAUCCAUGACACGUCCUAAAUUCGCAACCCGCCUAUUUAUUGGCAUUUUAACAUCUUUACACAUUAUGGACUCUUUAUUUAUUUCUUUCCAAGCAUCUUCAACUUUCUCACUAAAGAGACCAUAUAAAUAUUGCUCAGUAGUAGCAUCAAAUUGCUUCAUAUAGCAUUCGAUGACAGAGGCAACAUGCUUUCUUUCUUGCUCCUUCUGCAUUUAUUUUUCCAAAUUAACGUCAGUUACUUACAAAAUUAUCCAAGAUUGAUUAAGGAAUAACACAUAAAGUUUUGGGAGAGGUUAAUUAAUUUGGGUGUUUCACAGUUACAUAUACAUCGCUUUGUAGCAUCACAAAAAACAUAGUUGGUUAUACCUUGUGGGUGACAAUAUCAUCCAUCAACCUGC
This 2497-nucleotide long non-coding RNA is filed under the name Lactuca sativa (garden lettuce). RNAcentral's name for it is "long non-coding RNA (LSAT_LNC010185)". Lineage: Eukaryota; Viridiplantae; Streptophyta; Magnoliopsida; Asterales; Asteraceae. The record is from RNAcentral.